GGAAUGUACCUACGAUCUUGUAUUGAAGUGUUAUAGCCUUCGGUAGAUGUGACGAUCGGGGUUGAGGAUUGCAACGGAUACCCUUCGGGGCUACCUGUCUGAUCUCUGAUUGUUGCUCUGGUACCGAAAGCUUGCUUACGGUUAUCAAAGUCGAUGGUCAAUAGGUUAGAACGGGUUAAAUUCGUUAAGGAUGUUGACGUAA
RNAcentral lists this ribosomal RNA (202 nucleotides) under uncultured fungus. RNAcentral describes it as "partial large subunit ribosomal RNA". Lineage: Eukaryota; Fungi. The record is from RNAcentral.